This 236-nucleotide ribosomal RNA is filed under the name uncultured bacterium. RNAcentral's name for it is "partial 16S ribosomal RNA". It matches the Rfam family "Bacterial small subunit ribosomal RNA", at positions 96 to 334 of the family's 1533-position model. The record is from RNAcentral.
UGGCGGACGGGUGAGUAAUGUCUGGGAAACUGCCUGAUGGAGGGGGAUAACUACUGGAAACGGUAGCUAAUACCGCAUAACGUCGCAAGACCAAAGGAGGGGACCGUUCGGGCCUCUUGCCAUCGGAUGUGCCCAGAUGGGAUUAGCUAGUAGGUGGGGUAACGGCUCACCUAGGCGACGAUCCCUAGCUGGUCUGAGAGGAUGACCAGCCACACUGGAACUGAGACACGGUCCAG